This 497-nucleotide ribosomal RNA is filed under the name uncultured bacterium. RNAcentral describes it as "partial 16S ribosomal RNA". It matches the Rfam family "Bacterial small subunit ribosomal RNA", at positions 28 to 507 of the family's 1533-position model. The record is from RNAcentral.
GAUGAACGCUGGCGGCGUGCCUAAUACAUGCAAGUCGAGCGAACAGACGAGGAGCUUGCUCCUCUGACGUUAGCGGCGGACGGGUGAGUAACACGUGGAUAACCUACCUAUAAGACUGGGAUAACUUCGGGAAACCGGAGCUAAUACCGGAUAAUAUAUUGAACCGCAUGGUUCAAUAGUGAAAGACGGUUUUGCUGUCACUUAUAGAUGGAUCCGCGCCGCAUUAGCUAGUUGGUAAGGUAACGGCUUACCAAGGCAACGAUGCGUAGCCGACCUGAGAGGGUGAUCGGCCACACGGGAACUGAGACACGGUCCAGACUCCGACGGGAGGCAGCAGUAGGGAAUCUUCCGCAAUGGGCGAAAGCUGGACGGAGCAACGCCGGGGGAGUGAUGAAGGUCUUCGGAUCGGAAAACUCUGUUAUUAGGGAAGAACAAAUGUGUAAGUAACUAUGCACGUCUUGACGGUACCUAAUCAGAAAGCCACGGCUAACUACGUG